RNAcentral lists this ribosomal RNA (253 nucleotides) under uncultured bacterium. RNAcentral describes it as "partial 16S ribosomal RNA". It matches the Rfam family "Bacterial small subunit ribosomal RNA", at positions 524 to 776 of the family's 1533-position model. The record is from RNAcentral.
UACAGAGGGCGCGAGCGUUGUCCGGAAUCACUGGGCGUAAAGGGCUCGUAGGCGGCCAACUAAGUCAGACGUGAAAUCCCCAGGCUUAACCUGGGAACUGCGUCUGAUACUGGAUGGCUUGAAUUCGGGAGAGGGAUGCAGAAUUCCAGGUGUAGCGGUGAAAUGCGUAGAUAUCUGGAGGAAUACCGGUGGCGAAGGCGGCAUCCUGGACCGACAUUGACGCUGAGGAGCGAAAGCUAGGGGAGCAAACGGG